This 456-nucleotide ribosomal RNA is filed under the name Clostridioides difficile. RNAcentral describes it as "bacterial SSU rRNA". It matches the Rfam family "Bacterial small subunit ribosomal RNA", at positions 1 to 482 of the family's 1533-position model. The record is from RNAcentral. Lineage: Bacteria; Bacillati; Bacillota; Clostridia; Peptostreptococcales; Peptostreptococcaceae.
UUUUAUUUGAGAGUUUGAUCCUGGCUCAGGAUGAACGCUGGCGGCGUGCCUAACACAUGCAAGUUGAGCGAUUUACUUCGGUAAAGAGCGGCGGACGGGUGAGUAACGCGUGGGUAACCUACCCUGUACACACGGAUAACAUACCGAAAGGUAUGCUAAUACGGGAUAAUAUAUUUGAGAGGCAUCUCUUAAAUAUCAAAGGUGAGCCAGUACAGGAUGGACCCGCGUCUGAUUAGCUAGUUGGUAAGGUAACGGCUUACCAAGGCGACGAUCAGUAGCCGACCUGAGAGGGUGAUCGGCCACAUUGGAACUGAGACACGGUCCAAACUCCUACGGGAGGCAGCAGUGGGGAAUAUUGCACAAUGGGCGAAAGCCUGAUGCAGCAACGCCGCGUGAGUGAUGAAGGCCUUCGGGUCGUAAAACUCUGUCCUCAAGGAAGAUAAUGACGGUACUUGA